This 65-nucleotide transfer RNA is filed under the name Yunnantettix bannaensis. RNAcentral describes it as "tRNA-Trp". Lineage: Eukaryota; Metazoa; Arthropoda; Insecta; Orthoptera; Tetrigidae. The record is from RNAcentral.
AAGUACUUAAGUUAAUUUAAACUAAUAACCUUCAAAGUUAUAAAUAAAAACAUUUUUAGGACUUA